This 497-nucleotide ribosomal RNA is filed under the name uncultured bacterium. Its description in RNAcentral is "partial 16S ribosomal RNA". It matches the Rfam family "Bacterial small subunit ribosomal RNA", at positions 28 to 507 of the family's 1533-position model. The record is from RNAcentral.
GAUGAACGCUGGCGGCGUGCCUAAUACAUGCAAGUCGAGCGAACAGACGAGGAGCUUGCUCCUCUGACGUUAGCGGCGGACGGGUGAGUAACACGUGGAUAACCUACCUAUAAGACUGGGAUAACUUCGGGAAACCGGAGCUAAUACCGGAUAAUAUAUUGAACCGCAUGGUUCAAUAGUGAAAGACGGCUUUGCUGUCACUUAUAGAUGGAUCCGCGCCUGAUUAGCUAGUUGGUAAGGUAACGGCUUACCAAGGCAACGAUGCGUAGCCGGACUGAGAGGGUGAUCGGCCACACUGGAACUGAGACACGGUCCAGACUCCUACGGGAGGCAGCAGUAGGGAAUCUUCCGCAAUGGGCGAAAGCCUGACGGAGCAACGCCGCGUGAGUGAUGAAGGUCUUCGGAUCGUAAACCGCUGUUAUUAGGGAAGAACAGAUGUGUAAGUAACUAUGCACGUCUUGACGGUACCUAAUCAGAAAGCCACGGCUAACUACGUG